Molecule: signal recognition particle RNA, 257 nt
Filed under: fish gut metagenome
Description: Bacterial large signal recognition particle RNA
Rfam family: Bacterial large signal recognition particle RNA
About the family: The signal recognition particle (SRP) is a universally conserved ribonucleoprotein involved in the co-translational targeting of proteins to membranes. Archaeal SRP consists of a 7S RNA and homologues of the eukaryotic SRP19 and SRP54 proteins.
Source: RNAcentral
AGCCGGGGAGUUAGCGGUGCCCUGUACCUGCAAUCCGCUAUAGCAGGGGUGAUAUCCGAGCCGAGGGUUGUCCAUUGUAGGGUCUGCCCUGUAUAAGCGGCGUUGAGAUCUGGGUCUUGCGCAACAGAAACCCGUGAACCGUGUCAGGUCAGGAAUGGAGCAGCACUAAGCGGGAGCUUCUGUGUGCCGUAAGGCAGCCUGGGUUGAGCUGGCUGUACAGGUAACGCUUAUGGUGGCAUCUCGAAGCCGGAUGCGCG